This 498-nucleotide ribosomal RNA is filed under the name uncultured bacterium. RNAcentral describes it as "partial 16S ribosomal RNA". It matches the Rfam family "Bacterial small subunit ribosomal RNA", at positions 28 to 508 of the family's 1533-position model. The record is from RNAcentral.
GAUGAACGCUGGCGGCGUGCCUAAUACAUGCAAGUCGAGCGAACAGACGAGGAGCUUGCUCCUCUGACGUUAGCGGCGGACGGGUGAGUAACACGUGGAUAACCUACCUAUAAGACUGGGAUAACUUCGGGAAACCGGAGCUAAUACCGGAUAAUAUAUUGAACCGCAUGGUUCAAUAGUGAAAGACGGUUUUGCUGUCACUUAUAGAUGGAUCCGCGCCGCAUUAGCUAGUUGGUAAGGUAACGGCUUACCAAGGCGACGAUGCGUAGCCGACCUGAGAGGGUGAUCGGCCACACUGGAACUGAGACACGGUCCAGACCCCUACGGGAGGCAGCAGUAGGGAAUCUUCCGCAAUGGGCGAAAGCCUGACGGAGCAACGCCGCGUGAGUGAUGAAGGUCUUCGGAUCGUAAAACUCUGUUAUUAGGGAAGAACAAAUGUGUAAGUAACUAUGCACGUCUUGACGGUACCUAAUCAGAAAGCCACGGCUAACUACGUGC